Pangasianodon hypophthalmus (striped catfish) is the source of this 1550-nucleotide long non-coding RNA. RefSeq lists it as uncharacterized. Lineage: Eukaryota; Metazoa; Chordata; Actinopteri; Siluriformes; Pangasiidae. The transcript is spliced from 3 exons. The record is from RefSeq and is a predicted model, not a curated record.
UAAAUAUCAAUCUGAACAUUUAUAAAUCUCCAUGCAUUAGUUAAUUUUUUAACUUUAUGUAAUCCAUAAAAAUGACAAACUGAAUUAGCCAAUGCAUUUGAGAUCAGUGUUUAUGAACAAAUUAAUUGAUUAAUAAAUUAUUUUUUCAGCUUGAACCAAUUUACAGACAAAUGUUCAAAAACUUCCUCCAGAUGAUAAUUCAUGGUUUCAGGUGAGAAAUAAUAUAUGAAAACACUGCUCUGAAUAAUUAAUUUUCUUUACUUUUGAUGAUUCAGAAUUUUAACCUGUUUUAACUAUGGUUGGUUUUUAGGAAUGGUUCGAUUUUGACAAAUUCCAGCCUUGAAUUUAGUGCCAAUGGCACCAUCCCAACUGACUCCACAGUAAAAGAUGCCCUUGUUAAUGCGACUACCGCCAACUCAAGCUUGAAAAUUACUCCAAAUUCUAUAAAUGUCACCCGGGUUCCUGGUCAGUAUACACUUUAAAGGAUAUUGCAUUUUAAUAACUGAGUGGUACAUGUAGAUACUCUAAUUCCAGUUUAACCUCUCAAUCAACAGAGACAAACUCCUCUUCACCAAACACACCUACAACCCCGAGCACAACUACAACCACGAGCACAACUACAACCCCGAGCACAACUACAACCUCGAGCACAAAUACAACCACGAGCACACCUACAACCACUCCUGCAGUAGCUGCAAUAUUCAACUUGGUCUUUAGCAUCAAUGAAACCUUUGAUGCAGCACUGGCCAAUACCAGCUCUCCACAGUUUGCAGCAAAAGCUACAAGUAUCCGUACUCAGCUUGAACCAAUUUACAGACAAAUGUUCAAAAACUUCCUCCGGAUGAUAAUUUAUGGUUUCAGGAAUGGUUCGAUUGUGACAAAUUCCAGCCUUGAAUUUAGUGCCAAUGGCACCAUCCCAACUGACUCCACAGUAAAAGAUGCCCUUGUUAACGCGACUACCACCAACUCAAGCUUGAAAAUUACUCCAAAUUCUAUAAAUGUCACCCGGGUUCCUGGUCAGUAUACACUUUAAAGGAUAUUGCAUUUUAAUAACUGAGUGGUACAUGUAGAUACUCUAAUUCCAGUUUAACCUCUCAAUCAACAGAGACAAACUCCUCUUCACCAAACACAACUUCACCCCCGAGCACAACUACAACCACAAGCACAAAUACAACCACUAACACAACUUCACCCCCGAGCACAAAUACAACCAUGAGCACAAAUACAACUACGAGCACAACUACAACCCCGAGCACAAAUACAACCACGAGCACAACUACAACCACGAGCACAAUUACAACCACGAGCACACCUACAACCACUCCUGCAGUAGCUGCAAUAUUCAACUUGGUCUUUAGCAUCAAUGAAACCUUUGAUGCAGCACUGGCCAAUACCAGCUCUCCACAGUUUGCAGCAAAAGCUACAAGUAUCCGUACUCAGGUAAGGUUUUAUUGAUAAUGCUGCCAGUUACAGUUUAAUUGAUUCUUCUAAACAAGAGUAUUUUUGCCACCUGAACAGUUCCAUUUCCAUAUAAGACAACUGAGAGAACU